CAAACUUAUAUUCUUAGUUAAAGAAUCUGUUUAAAGAACGAGAAGAAAAAAAAGCAGGAAAGAUCGACAAUGCGGCAGCAGCAGCAGCAACUCAGACUGACUCUUUCUCACAUCAAGACCAAACCUACACACCUAAAGCCGUGAGAACUCCUGUGGACAGGUGGAGCUGGCAGCUGAGCUCUGGUCUGAUGCCUGUGUACGAGGAGGACGAGGAGAGCGAUGAGCUGCCGGGAGCAGAGGAGGAAGAGCCGGGAGCGGAGGAGGAAGAGCCGGGAGCAGAGGAGGAAGAGCCGGGAGCAGAGGAGGAAGAGCCGGGAGCAGAGGAGGAAGAGCCGGGAGCAGAGGAGGAAGAGCCGGGAGCGGAGGAGGAAGAGCCGGGAGCGGAGGAGGAAGAGCCGGGAGCAGAGGAGGAAGAGCCGGGAGCGGAGGAGGAAGAGCCGGGAGCAGAGGAGGAAGAGCCGGGAGCAGAGGAAAGCCUCCACAACCAGAGACCCGAGAUUCAAGGUUCAAGCAGCGGAUCCAGCAUCUAGACGCCACUGGAGAACGAGCGUCUCAGUCUAGUAAUGCUGACCUGGGCUCAGAUGAGUUGGACCUGCAGUGGGAGCCUCGCUUCCUCUGUCCUGAUGGAGUGUUUCUGGCCCAACGUGUCGAGGCCUGCAGCCCCGAUGGCGAUGACGACAAAUGAAGCCUCCUGCACUGGACUGGAACUGGACCGUUGUAUUGCACGGCUGCAGUGUGGUGUGACACCUUCUUGGUGUGAUGCGAGCAUUGUAUGUUUUAUAGCGCAGUUUAAGAGUGAUUAAAAGUCCAACAGCAGCAUUUUAUUAUUGCCAAUAAAGUUCAACAAGCUUACA
RNAcentral lists this long non-coding RNA (854 nucleotides) under Betta splendens (Siamese fighting fish). RNAcentral's name for it is "lncRNA (ENSBSLG00000016567.1)". Lineage: Eukaryota; Metazoa; Chordata; Actinopteri; Anabantiformes; Osphronemidae. The record is from RNAcentral.